CCUACGGGUGGCAGCAGUGGGGAAUAUUGGGCAAUGGGCGCAAGCCUGACCCAGCAACGCCGCGUGAAGGAAGAAGGCUUUCGGGUUGUAAACUGCUUUUAUAAGCGAGAAAUAUGAUGGUAACUUAUGAAUAAGGAUCGGCUAACUACGUGCCAGCAGCCGCGGUAAUACGUAGGGAGCAAGCGUUGUCCGGAAUUACUGGGCGUAAAGGGCGCGUAGGUGGGCGCUUAAGUCAGGUGUGAAAACUCCGGGCUCAACCUGGAGACUGCACUUGAAACUGGGUGUCUUGAGGGCAGGAGAGGAAAGUGGAAUUCCUAGUGUAGCGGUGAAAUGCGUAGAUAUUAGGAGGAACACCAGUGGCGAAGGCGACUUUCUGGACUGUACCUGACGCUGAGGCGCGAAAGCGUGGGUAGCGAACGGGAUUAGAUACCCUGGUAGUC
This 440-nucleotide ribosomal RNA is filed under the name uncultured bacterium. RNAcentral's name for it is "partial 16S ribosomal RNA". It matches the Rfam family "Bacterial small subunit ribosomal RNA", at positions 338 to 795 of the family's 1533-position model. The record is from RNAcentral.